This 67-nucleotide transfer RNA is filed under the name Praia tianmunica. RNAcentral describes it as "tRNA-Trp". Lineage: Eukaryota; Metazoa; Arthropoda; Insecta; Hymenoptera; Cimbicidae. The record is from RNAcentral.
AAGAUUUUAAGUUAAAUAAAACUAAAAGCCUUCAAAGCUUUAAAUAAAAAAAUUUUUUUAAAUCUUA